RNAcentral lists this non-coding RNA (29 nucleotides) under Homo sapiens (human). The record is from RNAcentral. Lineage: Eukaryota; Metazoa; Chordata; Mammalia; Primates; Hominidae.
UGACCCUGGGCCUAGUGGGAUUGAUCAGC